UACAGAGGUGGCAAGCGUUGUUCGGAAUUACUGGGCGUAAAGGGCGCGUAGGCGGCGGCUCAAGUCGGGGGUGAAAUCCUCUCGCUUAACGAGAGAAUUGCUUUCGAUACUGGGUCGCUGGAGGGAGAUAGGGGUGCGCGGAACUUCCGGUGGAGCGGUGAAAUGCGUAGAUAUCGGGAGGAACACCAGUAGCGAAGGCGGCUCGCUGGGCCAUUCCUGACGCUGAGACGCGAAAGCUAGGGGAGCGAACAGG
Molecule: ribosomal RNA, 253 nt
Filed under: uncultured bacterium
Lineage: Bacteria
Description: partial 16S ribosomal RNA
Rfam family: Bacterial small subunit ribosomal RNA
Source: RNAcentral